Molecule: long non-coding RNA, 1668 nt
Organism: Pseudophryne corroboree (corroboree frog)
Lineage: Eukaryota; Metazoa; Chordata; Amphibia; Anura; Myobatrachidae
Exons: 4
Source: RefSeq, a predicted model, not a curated record
UCUGUCUUUGGGUGAUCAGCCUUAUACCACAGAUUCAUUCUGCAUGGCUGAUACCCAGCAAAACCAGCUCACAAUGGUAAAACAUGAAUAGGGCGCCUGGAGUCCUGUUACCAUGGUGAUCCGUGGGUUGGAGCAUAAGCCGGGGCGUUGGCAUGGCAACGCCCGGAAGUGAGUAAUCAGAGGCGGACCCGGACUGCUGGUGCAUCCAGGUGCGGAGAGCAGUGCUGAUUCUGGGUCUGAGCCCUGAGCAUGGCUACCCACAGUGUGCUGGUGCCAUAGAUGGGACCCACAUACCCAUCAUCGCCUCCCGUGACAAUCCAGCAGACUACUAUAAUCGCAAGGGUUGGCAUUCCAUUGUCCUGCAAGCCACAGUGGACCACAAAUACUGAUGCAAGAUAUCUCUCAAUUCAUGCAUCUUCCUGGGAAUUCAACUCGCUAUCCGCCUCACGCAGGUGCUCCACGAUAAUGGACGUCAUUGCUCUGACCGUUUGUCCUGUUCGGUUUCUUUUUCUGCUGUGGAACGUUAUAGACUGUGAAGGGGAUGAAAUUUUUUUUUCAUCAACAAUGAUUAUAAAAAUAUACGUGUUUGUGGCCUUCUACCACCUGCACACUAGCUAUACUCUGUAACAUUUGAUUGUUCCAAUCAUUGACAAGGCAAAACCACAGUAUUGACUGGAGCACCCUCACUGCGACUCCUGGAGAAGUGGGCGCAGCCUCGCAAUUUCAUAUUAUCAAACUAUAAAUAAAUAUAUUUUAAGCCACCCUCUACGCACACAAUUAUCAGCCUUACACAUAACAGCCACAGUAGUGUUCCUUAUACAUAUUAUUGUCUCCAGUAUAGUGACAGAUACAUAUAAUGUCUUGUCGAAGUCAAAAAAAUAUUACAUAGAAAGAACAUACAGACUCCACACAUAUAAGUCGCUAUACUUGCAAAUAUGCGCAGCGAGCACAGCAAUAUAUGGUAACAUAUGCAUUUACACGGACAUGCCACAGAGAUGGAUUCGACACUUAUUUCAUACAGUACAUAAUUAUAAUAAUAUCAAGCGCCAGACAUCAUGAUGAUUUAAAAUUAUAUAAUUAAGUAAUGUCAUGUAUGUGUAUUAUUGGAACGAAGCUAGAUACAUCUGUCAUAUUUGGUAUUAAAGCAACCAGAUUAAUGUGUAGAUUCAUUUGAUACUUGUUAUUAAGUUGUAGGACAUUGCAACAAAUAGUUAUGAUUAAAUGUAUGAAAGCUAAAAUCACUCUUAUUAGGACAAUGGACAGGAAACUCAGGCCAGCCCCUUUUUGAUGUCUUCAAGGCUGAACCUGUUUAGCAUACGAACAAACCAGUGACUCAUCAUGAAUGAGAAAGUUCCCUCCCUUAAAACUAGAUAACACAUUACAGAGACACACAGUUCCCAGUUGCUGUUUUGUCCCAGACGAUGAUGGAGGUGCAUCUAGACCAGUUCCUGUAUUUAUUUGCUGAGAGAGAGAGAGAUAUUAAGAGGAAGAUGCAUUGAGGGAAUGGUAUGGUAUGCUGGCCUGUAACACUAACUGUAUGUAUGUAUUAACUGCUUACUGUAUGAAUUGUAAUCAUGUAACUAUAUGUAUACUGUACAUUGUGAUAUAUUGAAUACAUCUCCUUUUAAUAACAAAUAUAUACAUCAAUGAGCUUUGGAACUCAGAUAA